This 465-nucleotide ribosomal RNA is filed under the name Vreelandella stevensii. RNAcentral describes it as "partial 16S ribosomal RNA". It matches the Rfam family "Bacterial small subunit ribosomal RNA", at positions 338 to 795 of the family's 1533-position model. Lineage: Bacteria; Pseudomonadati; Pseudomonadota; Gammaproteobacteria; Oceanospirillales; Halomonadaceae. The record is from RNAcentral.
CCUACGGGUGGCUGCAGUGGGGAAUAUUGGACAAUGGGCGAAAGCCUGAUCCAGCCAUGCCGCGUGUGUGAAGAAGGCCUUCGGGUUGUAAAGCACUUUCAGUGGGGAAGAAAGCCUUGGGGCUAAUACCCUCGAGGAAGGACAUCACCCACAGAAGAAGCACCGGCUAACUCCGUGCCAGCAGCCGCGGUAAUACGGAGGGUGCGAGCGUUAAUCGGAAUUACUGGGCGUAAAGCGCGCGUAGGCGGUCUGAUAAGCCGGUUGUGAAAGCCCCGGGCUCAACCUGGGAACGGCAUCCGGAACUGUCAGGAUAGAGUGCAGGAGAGGAAGGUAGAAUUCCCGGUGUAGCGGUGAAAUGCGUAGAGAUCGGGAGGAAUACCAGUGGCGAAGGCGGCCUUCUGGAAUGACACUGACGCUGAGGUGCGAAAGCGUGGGUAGCAAACAGGAUUAGAUACCCGGGUAGUC